Triticum dicoccoides is the source of this 2595-nucleotide long non-coding RNA. RefSeq lists it as uncharacterized. NCBI's taxonomy places the organism in Eukaryota, Viridiplantae, Streptophyta, Magnoliopsida, Poales, Poaceae. The transcript has 3 exons. The record is from RefSeq and is a predicted model, not a curated record.
UAUCCGCUGCUUCCCUGGAUCCCUAUCCCUCCUGUGUGCCCGCCGCUGCGAGCGUCCACCAUCACGACCGCCCCCGAUCUAUCCGUGCGUCGUAGCCCUGCUUCCGCCUUCCACCGUGUCGCGGUCUCCGGCAUUGUGCCCGCCUCCUCUGCGAUCCCGUGUAGCACCCCAGCUCCCCGUCCACCUUCGCUACUCCCCGCCCCCGCUCCUCUGCGCCGUUGUGCCGAUUGUUGAGCCCCGCCUCUGCGGGCGGUGGUGUUGGUGCCCUCCUCUGCACCGCCACUAAUCCACUACCACGCGACCUGACCCAUCUCUCUCUCUCUCUCUCUCUCUCUCUCUCUCUCCACGGCGAGGCAAUUGUCGACGACGGCGACGCGAGGGGCCUGAGCAGGCAGCGCGGAAACUUUCCACGGCCCUCGCCGUGACGCCGUGCACCAUGCUGCCGACAGGACGCGCUGCGGCAGUGCGCUGGACGGGGACGUCUGGUGCCUCCAGCGCUCGGCCACUUUUGUGUUCCCAAGAGAUUCAAAGGCACGUUGGCUUGUCCCUCUAGGACUAUGCGGACGAGCUGGUUCUACUCCUCUCCGUCAUGGCGCAGAUGGUGAGGUUCUGAUUCAUCAAAUUAUUCGACAUCUUAAUUUUAUUUCUCUCAUCUCCAAGCUCAGGGCCAGAUUUUUGGGUCGUUAAACAUGUAGGCAUUUUAUUAAAUCGACAGAAGAUCUGAUGGGUGCACACAAAGUGUUCGUGGAAUUGCCUCCACGAGGUUGUAGUACAUGAAACAGUUGGUUGUUUAGGAAGCGUGCCUUUUUCAAUCUCGACUUUGUUUGUAGACUUGCGGUAUCAUAUAUAUGUGGAUGGCAUCUGAUUAUGAGUAAGAAAAUAUCAAACUUUCUGUCCUGUCUCCACUCUCUUACCAAAUUUGUUAUAGUAAGUUUCUAAUGUUACAAAAGCGAUUUUAUAUAAGUUGAUUUGGCUUAGACUGUGCUGCUCAUUUCUUGGCUGCAAAGGGUGGCUUGUUGUGUUUAUAGCAUGCUAUACAUUGCACACAACUAUAUUUUCCAGAUCACUGCUUCGUCUUUUCUCAGUUUUACUAAUUGGAGUAUAUUUCUGGUUGAGAGGGGAACUUCCUGGUAGAACUGUAGCUUAGAUAGGGAGUGAUUCAUUCUGGAACUCAUCCGGCAACAUGCAAAAAUUCUACUCCGUAAUUAAAUCCAUGGCAGUGAUACUUUUCCCUAUCAGUACAGUUACUAAGCUCCCAGGAAAUGGAGCUUCCUGGGGCGUUGAGCGUUUGAGGAGCGAAUGGGCCUAUGCUGUCAUUGGGUGGACGAAAUUGACUGAACGGGCUGGGUUACUUUCCUUGGUGUACGUGUCGCUCUGGGCGAGUUGGACCUCAGAGCUAGACACACGAAAGGAGAAACCGCCUCCUAUGCACAGGCGGUUGCGGUGCUGCCGCAAUCCAUCUCUCCAUCUCUCUCUCCCUCUCUUGCAGCGAGCCAAUGGUCGACUACAGCGAUGCACCGGGCUUGGAGGAGUAGCAGGUGCCCGUGGUUGCUGAGGCGCCGCAAGAGCUGCGGGAGGCCGCUGCGCCCUCGCCGUGCAUCACGCGGCCAAAGGAGAUGAGCUGCAGCGGAGCUGGACAGGGAUGUCCGCCGCUCGGUCACCUCCAUCAACCCCGCGAAGCUCAACUAGGUGGCAGAUUCAGAGUUUUCAUAUGUGAGAGCUGUCACACCACACAAGACAUGAACUAAUUUCAGAGAACUCUCUAUGGAAGUGAUGGAUUUGAAUGCUUACAGGUACAGGUUCAGGACUGAAGAAGUCAUGGUUUAACGCUUCCACAUCGUCAUUGGAGCUGAACCAGUGCAUAAUCCGGUGCUCCCAGGACUCACCGCAGCCGGUGUGGUCGCCAAUGUCACUCUCCCGCACCGCGGUAUAGGGAGGAUGCUUGCGGUAGAGCUCCCGGGCCUUGAGGGCCAUGGGCGGGGUAGGCAGGAUGGACCGGGACGGGGAUACUGCUGAGGCUGCUGAUGAGAACGCUGGUGGUGGUGGUGACCAAGGCACGGGGGCUGAUGGUGUUCACGGUGGAGCAGACUGCCAAGGUCUUGGUGACCUCCGCCAUGGAGCAGCAGUGCAGCCUAUGAAUGUGUGCAGCUCCAUGAGCAUGGCCUUUUCGUACUCCGCGCUCACCGCCUUAAUCGCAGCCUGCCACAUGGUCGACGAUGCACUCUUCCCUAUCUGCCUUCGGUUCAGUCUCAUUGUGAUGUAUGCUGCCACAGGCACCAGGUGACACGCCGGAAUGCAGAGCGAGGUGAGCUGGUGCUGCUACCAUUGCUUUAUCCAUUGCAUGGUUCUUUUAUUUAGUUGCACGAUGCUUUCUAUCUUGAUUUUUUUGUGUUGGAUGAGCUGAUUGUAUAACGUGAAGCCAAGCAGAACCAGCUUGUUAUUUGUGAGAGUCGGCUACUUUCAAGUCCUGUUAAUAGGUGAAUGAGUUGAACUCAGCUCACACUUGUAGUUUGUAUCGAUGCCAUUCUUCAUCAGGGAUAAACUGUCAAAUUUUCAGUUGAUAAUGGUGCUAAUGUUCGGCCCGUGCUGGAUUUA